UGGGGAAUAUUGCACAAUGGGGGAAACCCUGAUGCAGCGACGCCACGUGAACGAAGAAGGUAUUCGUAUCGUAAAGUUCUGUCCUAUGGGAAGAUAAUGACAGUACCAUAGAAGAAAGCUCCGGCUAAAUACGUGCCAGCAGCCGCGGUAAUACGUAUGGAGCGAGCGUUGUCCGGAAUUAUUGGGCGUAAAGGGUACGCAGGCGGUUUAAUAAGUCGAAUGUUAAAGAUCGGGGCUCAACCCCGUAAAGCAUUGGAAACUGAUAAACUUGAGUAGUGGAGAGGAAAGUGGAAUUCCUAGUGUAGUGGUGAAAUACGUAGAUAUUAGGAGGAAUACCAGUAGCGAAGGCGACUUUCUGGACACAAACUGACGCUGAGGUACGAAAGCGUGGGGAGCAAACAGGAUUAGAUACCCACGUAGUCCCUGAGCGGGCUGGCAAGGCGCAU
Molecule: ribosomal RNA, 446 nt
Filed under: uncultured bacterium
Lineage: Bacteria
Description: bacterial SSU rRNA
Rfam family: Bacterial small subunit ribosomal RNA
Source: RNAcentral